Molecule: unclassified non-coding RNA, 288 nt
Filed under: Hevea brasiliensis (rubber tree)
Lineage: Eukaryota; Viridiplantae; Streptophyta; Magnoliopsida; Malpighiales; Euphorbiaceae
Source: RNAcentral
AUGACCUUGAGAAAAUAAUACAAGUAAUGGAUGGAACCUUAAGGUGGUUAUCUUGAUUGCUUCCCUUUUUGUGGAGAGAGCGAUACACUAGGUCGUUUGAUGUGAGGGAUAAGAAUUAAUAGUCCUAGGGUAAAAAAAUAGUCCAGGGAUCAAACUUUGGUGUUUCGUUGUUAUGUUUGAGAUAACUUAACCCACCAUUUAUACCAUAGUGAUGGGAUAAGUUAUCUCAUAUACAUGGUUAAGUUGUCCCAGGAUAGCUUCCAUCUUGGGAUAACUUGUUCCCAACCA